This 494-nucleotide ribosomal RNA is filed under the name uncultured bacterium. RNAcentral describes it as "bacterial SSU rRNA". It matches the Rfam family "Bacterial small subunit ribosomal RNA", at positions 903 to 1397 of the family's 1533-position model. The record is from RNAcentral.
AAAUGAAUUGACGGGGGCCCGCACAAGCGGUGGAGUAUGUGGUUUAAUUCGACGCUACGCGCAGAACCUUACCAACCUUUGACAUGGGAGUCACGAGAUUCAGAGAUGAGUUUCUUCAUUUAGUUGGACUCCACACAGGUGCUGCAUGGCUGUCGUCAGCUCGUGUCGUGAGAUGUUGGGUUAAGUCCCGCAACGAGCGCAACCCUCGCCUUUAGUUGCUACCAUUCAGUUGAGCACUCUAAAGGAACUGCCGGUGUAAGCCGGAGGAAGGUGGGGAUGACGUCAAGUCCUCAUGGCCCUUACAGGUUGGGCUACACACGUACUACAAUGGCAAUGACAGAGGGAAGCCAGCCCGCAAGGGUGCGCUGAUCCCAAAAAGUUGCCUCAGUUCGGAUUGUCCUCUGCAACUCGAGGGCAUGAAGUUGGAAUCGCUAGUAAUCGCGGAUCAGCAGGUCGCGGUGAAUACGUUCCCGGGCCUUGUACACACCGCCCGU